UUUUAAAUCACCAAAUAGAUGGGUUAAAAAUAAAACGUCAAGGGAGAUCAUCUCAUGCACACUCUAAAGCUUCUAAGUUUUAUUGCAUGUCUAAGAAUAUCUGUGUCUUCUAUCUUAAAAGGGAAUUCCUAUAACAACAUACGGUACUGCGAUCCCCUGGCUAUUAUCCAAAAGGCAAAGGCUGCAAAGGAAGCUACAGAGGAAGACUUCUUAAUGCAGCCCCCACGUCUACAAUCAUGGUAUCAACACAGAACCCAUCAUGAUGCUGGUGUGAAAAAUGAUAGUAACUCUAAAGCUUCCCUGGGACAGUAA
This 312-nucleotide long non-coding RNA is filed under the name Gopherus agassizii (Agassiz's desert tortoise). RNAcentral's name for it is "lncRNA (ENSGAGG00000024752.1)". Lineage: Eukaryota; Metazoa; Chordata; Testudines; Testudinidae. The record is from RNAcentral.